This 97-nucleotide transfer RNA is filed under the name Thermus aquaticus. Its description in RNAcentral is "tRNA-Ser". The record is from RNAcentral. Lineage: Bacteria; Thermotogati; Deinococcota; Deinococci; Thermales; Thermaceae.
GUGGCGUUGGGGGAGAAGGUGUACUCCCUAGCCCCUGAGGGGGUGAAGGAACUGGGUCCGGGUUCUGGGGACGCGGUUCUGCCGCCAUGGCGCCUUG